Molecule: ribosomal RNA, 467 nt
Filed under: uncultured bacterium
Lineage: Bacteria
Description: partial 16S ribosomal RNA
Rfam family: Bacterial small subunit ribosomal RNA
Source: RNAcentral
GACGAACGCUGGCGGCGUGCUUAACACAUGCAAGUCGAACGGAAAGGCCUAGCUUGCUGGGUACUCGAGUGUCGAACGGGUGAGUAACACGUGGGUGAUCUGCCCCUGACUUUGGGAUAAGCCUUGGAAACUGUGUCUAAUACCGGAUAUUCAUUUUUCCUCGCCUGGGGAUUUGUGGAAAGCUUUUGCGGUUGGGGAUGGGCCCGCGGCCUAUCAGCUUGUUGGUGGGGUAAUGGCCUACCAAGGCGACGACGGGUAGCCGACCUGAGAGGGUGAUCGGCCACACUGGGACUGAGAAACGGCCCAGACUCCUACGGGAGGCAGCAGUGGGGAAUAUUGCACAAUGGGCGCAAGCCUGAUGCAGCGACGCCGCGUGAGGGAUGACGGCCUUCGGGUUGUAAACCUCUUUCAGCUCCGACGAAGCGCAAGUGACGGUAGGGGCAGAAGAAGCACCGGCCAACUACGUG